GCGACCACCGAGCUGCAAUCCAAUUCGAGAAUCAUCAGGGCCUCUGGCCAUCUAAGAGCCAAUCGAACACCUUCGUGAGCUCUAGCCUCUACUUUCUCUGUAUCCCUGCAAUGAGAUAUGAUGCACCAUUAAGUUAGUUUUGGGGAACCCUCCUAGUCUCUAAUCGCCACGCCCACUAAGCGUCUCCGGACAAAUGGUAUUGCUUCCAUCUGAAGCUACAUUCAAAUUUGGAUGUAACUAAAUUUGAAUCCAAAUUAGCAAAUUUAUAUUCAUAUCUGCAGGCACUUUGCUAAGAAUCCAUAUCCAACAAAAAAUACAGAUACUAAUGUUAUCUUGAACUAUUUUUUAAAUACAAUUAGAUGACAUUAUUACAAUAUUUUUUAAUUCCAUAUGUUCAAUAUGAUAGUUGAAUAGUGUUGAUCGGAUAUAUAUUAAUGGUUUUCCUGUUGCUGUCUUUUGUCCUAAAGGUGCCCAACAUGAUGGAGUCUUCGGAGAUUGAGAUAGUUAGCUCUGCUUUGCCUGUAAGAACUGGCUAUGGAAAUUUAAAUCUAACACUUACUGUUUUUUUUUUUGAAAAUGUCACAAGCUUUUGUCUUUUAUGCCACUACUGGGAUGUUGCAGUUUCUUUUUUUGUUUUGAACAUGAUGUUACAGUUUCUGAUCAGCUAGCUUAUUUGUGCUCAAUGUAUUGCUUCCACCUGAAAGCUACAUUCAAAUUAUUUGUUUAAAAGUACAAGGAGGAAAUUCUGCUAUCUAGUUUAUUACCAAUUCAAUUUUCUCUCAUCCAAAUGGGUUAUUUCGCUUUUAGAGAUAACCAAUUUGCAUUGGAAUCUUAUGAGUCAUACCAAUAUAUAAUCAGUGGUAAUAGAAGAAUGCUCGGGAAACGAUAUGAUAGUAUUAGAAAUAUUUAUGUAUUUUUCAUAACUGCAAUACAAAGUUAAGAAUUAUUGAAUUGAUAGUUGUUAAUUUCUUGUCUGUUUUGUAUCAUCAUUCUAUUGAAGGUUCCCAACAUGAUGGGCUACCCUGAGGAGACUAGAAGCAAACACGUGACAGUAAGAAUUACAUAUCAAACUUUUUAUUGUCUCCGUGUAUUUGUCUUUUUAGUUACAAGCUUAACUAGCUAUCAUGUUAAUAGGCAUUAAUAUCGGCAAAUGAUAAGGUUUUGUUGAAAUAUUUCAUUUGUUUCUAUUAAUUUGUUAGAACUACGU
Molecule: long non-coding RNA, 1207 nt
Filed under: Sorghum bicolor (sorghum)
Lineage: Eukaryota; Viridiplantae; Streptophyta; Magnoliopsida; Poales; Poaceae
Description: long non-coding RNA (SBIC_LNC017321)
Source: RNAcentral